This 554-nucleotide ribosomal RNA is filed under the name Trichoderma virens. RNAcentral describes it as "eukaryotic LSU rRNA". The stretch from base 174 to 327 matches the Rfam family "5.8S ribosomal RNA". The record is from RNAcentral. Lineage: Eukaryota; Fungi; Ascomycota; Sordariomycetes; Hypocreales; Hypocreaceae.
GUGAACGUUACCAAACUGUUGCCUCGGCGGGAUCUCUGCCCCGGGUGCGUCGCAGCCCCGGACAAGGCGCCCGCCGGAGGACCAACCAAAACUCUUAUUGUAUACCCCCUCGCGGGUUUUUUACUAUCUGAGCCAUCUCGGCGCCCCUCGUGGGCGUUUCGAAAAUGAAUCAAAACUUUCAACAACGGAUCUCUUGGUUCUGGCAUCGAUGAAGAACGCAGCGAAAUGCGAUAAGUAAUGUGAAUUGCAGAAUUCAGUGAAUCAUCGAAUCUUUGAACGCACAUUGCGCCCGCCAGUAUUCUGGCGGGCAUGCCUGUCCGAGCGUCAUUUCAACCCUCGAACCCCUCCGGGGGGUCGGCGUUGGGGAUCGGCCCUUUACGGGGCCGGCCCCGAAAUACAGUGGCGGUCUCGCCGCAGCCUCUCCUGCGCAGUAGUUUGCACACUCGCAUCGGGAGCGCGGCGCGUCCACAGCCGUUAAACACCCCAAACUUCUGAAAUGUUGACCUCGGAUCAGGUAGGAAUACCCGCUGAACUUAAGCAUAUCAAUAAGCGGA